Molecule: ribosomal RNA, 273 nt
Filed under: uncultured bacterium
Lineage: Bacteria
Also listed under: 1 other name
Description: partial 16S ribosomal RNA
Rfam family: Bacterial small subunit ribosomal RNA
Source: RNAcentral
CAGCGCGAGGUAGCAAUACUUUGGCGGCGACCGGCGCACGGGUGCGUAACACGUAUGUAACUUACCUCUUACAAUCGGAUAACACGGUGAAAGUCGUGCUAAUACGGUAUAGUUUCGCAAGCUCGCAUGGGUAUGCGAAUAAAGAUUUAUCGGUAAGAGAUAGACAUGCGGUCCAUUAGAUAGUUGGUGAGGUAACGGCUCACCAAGUCGACGAUGGAUAGGGGGACUGAGAGGUUGACCCCCACACUGGUACUGAGACACGGACCAGACUCC